AAGGGAAAAAGAUGAGGAGAAAAAGGAAGGAAAAUAGAUUUAAGAGGCUAAGAGUACAAAUUGGAGCUCAAGUUUGCUGAUUCUUUAAUCUCCAAUUUCAUUAAGAUAGCAGCUGAGUUGAGUAGUAUUGAAGCC
Olea europaea var. sylvestris is the source of this 135-nucleotide long non-coding RNA. RefSeq lists it as uncharacterized. NCBI's taxonomy places the organism in Eukaryota, Viridiplantae, Streptophyta, Magnoliopsida, Lamiales, Oleaceae. The record is from RefSeq and is a predicted model, not a curated record. The transcript is spliced from 3 exons.